GGCCUGUCUAGAGGACAAUUCAACAAUGGAUCUCAGAGGCCCAACUGGACUUCCAAAGGCCCAAUUUAUUUAUUAUGUAUACGGUGUUCUGUCUGUAAGUAUGCGUGCAGGCCAGAGGAGGGCACCAGAUCUCAUUACAGAUGGUUGCACGCCACUCUCACCCCUGAACCCACCUCAGAUGCCUGGGUGCAUGUGAUCAAGCGUAGCACAGAAGGAAGGUGGCCAGGUCCCAGCCACGGACAUUCAGAGAAAACAAACUCCAGGAACAAAAGGUGAGCUAAGACAUCAGUUCUCAGGCGCACAGUCUGCACCACCUGAGAAGGCCAUCUGGAGGAUCCAAGGCCGCUGCUGGACCAGCCCUCCUUGCCAGUGCGGGCAGAGCUGUUAUCAGAGAAAAGCAAACCACUGUCACCAACAGCUGGACACCAUGGGGUACAGGAAUGGAGGCUUUCAGGUCUCUGGCUCAGGCCAUCUGCUCUGUGACUCUGUGACCCCUGUGCCACUGGAGGAAACCAUCAAGCUCUGGGAAGACAAUGGUGGAGUCUAAAAAGUCUUACUUCUGCAUCUGCUUGGUGCAACUGUAUCAGGAUAAAAUCCUAUUUGCAACCUUUUCUAUACUGGGGGGGGGGGCAUAUGUACGGAUGCACAGAUGUGCAUGUGCAGGUGUGCACUUGUCCUUGGAGGCCAGAGCCAACACUCUUCACUUCACUUUUGGCAGCAGGGUCUCUCACUGAACCUGGAUUUUCCUGACUGCCUAGAUUCUGUCUCUAACUCCAAACUUCAACCCCCAGUGGUGAGGUUACAGACACAGAUACUGAGCAUCUGUAUACUACAAUAAAAAUAACAACAACAAACAGUGUCUCUUGCCUCUGCCACCUGUCAGGUGAUCUUUGCAGAACCACAUUUCUGGCUUUUCACCAAGCAGAGGUAUGCUGUCUGCUACUGUUGCCACCAUCACUGAUGUUUAAACAACACCUCCUAAGACAGGACCGGGGAUGUCUGGGGCCUCCAGGUCCUGUUCCUAUGCUCCACAUGCCUGCCUUCCCCUCUACCCAAGCCUGAGCCUCGUUCCAGAUUCUCCCUCAUUUGGCCAUGUGUGCCCACUUGAAGACGACUGCCUUCCUUGUGGAACCUGGUGAGCCAGAACUCAACUGCUACAAGCAAUUGCUAUUUAUGUCAGUUUGGAAAAGGACAGUGACCACUGUCUGAUUAACCCAGACUCUCCCUGCAGGUAGACUUACAUCUAAUACCCUAACGUGUGAACAGAGGAAAACAGAGGAGAGGCGCCACUGCAAGUAGGCGGGGAAUCUGUAUGCCCAGCUACUCAAGAGAUUCUGGAAGGUUCUACACACUUUCCUUCUCACCCGAGGGCAUCGCGGGUGGGUCAGGAAGACUCGCUGAGAUUGAAAUGGCUGCUGAGUUCCUUUCCAGCCCUGCUUACACAUGCUUCCACUGACUCAAUAAUGCCCUUAGGAAGAAACGGGGAGAGAGGCGUGGCAUUCAAAACUCAUUCUUCCAAGGGCAGCUCAUUCACCACGAUACUCUGGGAGGCUGGUGUCUAUAACAGGGCAGGAGAGGCUGGCAUCUGCCGUCAGCAAUACAAAGGCAAUGAACGCCACAUAUUCAGGCCAAGCAGCUGGGGACAAUGAAGCCAUGGAAGGAGCAGCGUGACCGAUAAAACCCACUGCAGGGGUGAUUUCUGAGACCCAAGAACAACAGAAGCACAGAAGUCUCACCUACAGUCCCAGUGCUCAGAAAGCAGUCUAUGAGCCCCUUGGCACAUCUGCCUCCAUUUCUGAAGAUGCUGUGGAGACGCCAUCACGGAGUCCAUGACCAGCCCACCCCCAUGCCCUGGACACUGUGGCUGCCAACUAGCAAACUCCAGGCUGCCUCUGAUCCAAGGGUGUGUUAAGUUUGUGCUACUUCGUGCUGCAAAAUGGGGAGAUUUUACCUGAGAAGCUGAACUGCUUCCAUCCUCAGAAUGUGGGAAGAUACACAAGGCAAGCCCUGAAGCGCCAGAGCCAACCAGCAAUGGCCCAGUUUCCCAUCCCUCCAGCACGUGCUAAGUUCACCCGCUUCAUUCUGCUUCUUCCCUGGUCCUGUACCCAUUUUAUAGGUGGAUUACCAAAGGCCCCAUCAUGUUACAUUGUCAAGGACUCAGAGCCACCACUAUCUGUAGACCAGGCUGGCCUUGAAC
Long non-coding RNA from Arvicola amphibius (Eurasian water vole), 2197 nucleotides. RefSeq lists it as uncharacterized. NCBI's taxonomy places the organism in Eukaryota, Metazoa, Chordata, Mammalia, Rodentia, Cricetidae. The transcript is spliced from 3 exons. The record is from RefSeq and is a predicted model, not a curated record.